GCCGGGAUGGCGGAAAUGGUAGACGCAGUGGACUUAAAAUCCAUCGUUCUCUCAGAACUUGAGGGUUCAAGUCCCUCUCUCGGUA
This 85-nucleotide transfer RNA is filed under the name bacterium. RNAcentral's name for it is "tRNA-Leu". It matches the Rfam family "tRNA". Rfam says of the family: Transfer RNA (tRNA) molecules are approximately 80 nucleotides in length. The record is from RNAcentral.